Molecule: long non-coding RNA, 426 nt
Filed under: Brassica napus (rape)
Lineage: Eukaryota; Viridiplantae; Streptophyta; Magnoliopsida; Brassicales; Brassicaceae
Description: long non-coding RNA (BNAP_LNC024813)
Source: RNAcentral
AAACCCCAUCUUUAUUUUUAAGUUUUGUCGUUAUUUUUAACGAGUGUUAUGUUUAAAUCCCUAGAACCCGAAACCCGAAACUCGAAACCCGAAACCCCAAACCCCAAACUCGAAACCCGAAACCCGAAACCCCAAACCCGAAAUCCCAUAUUCUUUAUUUUCUACUUCAUAUAUUCCAAACUCCAUCUUUAUUUUUAAGUUUCGUCGUUAUUUUUAACGAGUGUUAUGUUUAAAUCCCUAGAACGUUAGGAAAGGUUACGUUGUAAGUACAACUUAGGACCAAACGAAAUCAUUAACAAUGUUAAUAAAGGAUAACAAGAUCUCUAACUACUUUUGAAGCUCAAAAUUUAUAAGUUUGUAGGAUAAAAUUUUCAAAUGGUAUUUUAAUUUAUAAGAAAAUAUUAAAAGAAAAUUAUAUACAACCAC